Molecule: ribosomal RNA, 561 nt
Filed under: uncultured bacterium
Lineage: Bacteria
Description: partial 16S ribosomal RNA
Rfam family: Bacterial small subunit ribosomal RNA
Source: RNAcentral
UGGGGAAUUUUGGACAAUGGGCGAAAGCCUGAUCCAGCAAUGCCGCGUGUGUGAAGAAGGCCUUCGGGUUGUAAAGCACUUUUGUCCGGAAAGAAAUCCUUGGCUCUAAUACAGUCGGGGGAUGACGGUACCGGAAGAAUAAGCACCGGCUAACUACGUGCCAGCAGCCGCGGUAAUACGUAGGGUGCAAGCGUUAAUCGGAAUUACUGGGCGUAAAGCGUGCGCAGGCGGUUUGCUAAGACCGAUGUGAAAUCCCCGGGCUCAACCUGGGAACUGCAUUGGUGACUGGCAGGCUAGAGUAUGGCAGAGGGGGGUAGAAUUCCACGCNUAGCAGUGAAAUGCGUAGAGAUGUGGAGGAAUACCGAUGGCGAAGGCAGCCCCCUGGGCCAAUACUGACGCUCAUGCACGAAAGCGUGGGGAGCAAACAGGAUUAGAUACCCUGGUAGUCCACGCCCUAAACGAUGUCAACUAGUUGUUGGGGAUUCAUUUCCUUAGUAACGUAGCUAACGCGUGAAGUUGACCGCCUGGGGAGUACGGUCGCAAGAUUAAAACUCAAAUGAA